This 8617-nucleotide long non-coding RNA is filed under the name Brassica rapa (field mustard). RNAcentral describes it as "long non-coding RNA (BRAP_LNC001357)". Lineage: Eukaryota; Viridiplantae; Streptophyta; Magnoliopsida; Brassicales; Brassicaceae. The record is from RNAcentral.
GACAAGUGACCAAAUAUAUGCGGAAAUCAUAAUAAGGUAACAAACAAGUUUAGAGAAAACAGUAGAUCUUAUUUCGAGUCCGCGUAAGAGCGUUGCGAUCAUUACAAGAGAUCAUGAAAGCUUUGGCCGCAAAGGCUGUCAGUGAGUUACUUAGUUCUAGCUGCCUAAUAGCUCAAACCUAGUUGAGUCGCAGCUCGAUAACAAAAAUCGAAAUAGAUACAGAAAAGGUUUUUGAUUGAUUUCGGACUGAACCUUGUUAAAGGCUGCCUACGUACCCCUUUCGAGGAUCAAGCCGAACGUAGUUCAAUUGAUAGAGCUGGACAAGAGAUCGAACUGCCUGGGCGAGUUCGUCUUGUAAUUGAGUGUCAGUCAUAGAAACCGAACUUGUCGAGUAUAAAGCCUAAAGUUUCUAAGUGCAGAGAAUUUUGAGUCUAAAAAGUUCUCUCUCAAUGCCUCUCACCUAGGACUUCUUAUAUACUCGCUCCAAGGUUGGUUUACGCUUUUACUCUUCUGCCCUUAAGCCGUCAUAGCAUAAAAUAGAGAUAUUCUAUUUUUUCCGAUCUUCGUAAUUAUCUUCAAAAUUCCGUAUUUAUCCGUGGAAACUUGACAUUUAUCUUCCCUUGCGAACCAAGCGUAAACCGUCCAACGGUUUACGGGCUUUUGGUUAAGAAAUCAUAAGAUGGGCCUCGAGUCGUGUCUUAGGUCUCUUUGGGCCGUAUUCCGACUCGAAACGUUUAUUGCGACUUCUUUCGAUAAAGAACAGACUUUCCGCGGUUUUUACUGCAAAGUUUGAUCGAUGAUUUAGAAUGGCGGAAAACAUGAACUGAGUUCGCUCCGGUCUUCGGGAGAUAGCAUCGAAGGAUAGACGAGAAUGCAUGGACUGGUGUCCUAUCGACGUUUCGAAAGAGCUCGGUCGCUACGUAGCGACCGAGCUGUGUGCAUGCUUGGUCGCCGCGUAUCGAUCGAGCUUGGCUUGUCUGCGGUCCGAUUACCAUACUCGAGCUUGUCCGCGGCCGAUUUGGAUACAUGUCUGUUGCCUUCGGACAAUCGUAUUUAGUGGUUCGAUUGAGAUUUGAACAAGAUUUUACUGCAAGGCUCUUCGUAAAGAUAUCUUUACGAGGAUUACUUUUCGUAAAAAUUUUCAUGCUGAUUUUUACGGAUUUUCAGACAUUGAUUUCGUCGUGACCGAUUUUGACCCCAACAGUAUCCUUGUUGACAUGGCCCAAGCGUGUGUGCCAUAUUGUGGUUUCUUCUCUAGCAGUUAGUUGCAUACACUCGAUAAGUUCUACUUGUAGUGUGACCUUGUACAAUCGGUUCUUCGUCCUUGUGGUCUUUACCAUUAGUUUUCCAUGCCUGUCAAGUAGCUUGAGCGUGUCAUCUUUUAAGUUAACUUCGCAGCCUACCUCUGUAGCUUGACCUAACGAGAUGAUGUUGCUUCGUAGUGCUGGAAUAUAGUAAACGUCCUUCAAAACUUUCUUUCCAUCAUUAAUAACAAAUUGGAUCGAGCCUUUUCCCUUUAUAUCAACUCAUGAAUCGUCUCCAAACCAUACUUUUCCAGUAGUUGUGUCGUCUAGCUCGUGGAAGAACAUACAGUUCCCACUCAUAUGGUUGCUAGCCCCAUUAUCAAGAUACCAUACGUCCCUUGCAUCUGUUUCUGUAUCAAACGCUUUAGGGUUCACAUUGUUUUCAUUCAGGUAAACUACCUCGUUCAUCAUAAGAUUGUCAGCUUCAUGAGUGUCGUCGUCCUUCAUCUCAUCCUUAUCAACAGUUUCUUGAAGUUUUAGCAUCUUAUCCGGACAAUCAGUUGCAUAGUGACCAAGUUUAUCACAGUUAAAACAUGUGAUAUGUGAGGCAUCUCCUCCAGCUCGUCCUUGUUUAUACGCGUCACGCUGCUGUUGGAAGGAUCCAUAACGACCACGUCCUCUUCCUCUCCAGUUCGUUCUACCACCGCGUCCUCGUCCUCGGCCAUUGUUUCCAUAAUUCUCUUGGCUCGAGUUUAUAUUACCAUACAUCAAUUUUCCGGAGUCAUCAUCGUUAUCGGUUUCUUCUUCGGCUAUUCUUUCCUCUAAUGCUUUCAGUCUACCAACAAUAUCCUCAUAGCUCAUAGUCUUAAGAUCUAGAACUUGCUCAAGUGAAGCAACCAUGUGGAUAAACUUCUUUCUUGGUAAGCUCUUUAAAAUUUUCUUUACAAGCUUAGGUUCUUCGAUUACUUCUCCUAAAGAAGCGGCUUCGACAACUAUUUCUGAUAGCUUGCCAGAGAACAUGUCGACUGUAUCUCCAUCUUUCAUCUUGAUCCUGUCGAAUUCUGCCAUCAAGAUUUGUAACCUAGCCUCCUUGACUCGUUCAGCUCCAACAUGUCUGGCUUUUAUUGCAUCCCACGCUGCCUUUGCUGUAUCUAUGUCCCCAAUUUGCAAGACUAAUGUUUCUGGUAUGGACUAGAAUAAGAACGCAAUAGCCACAUUAUUCUUCUUCUCGUCUUUGGUUCCGGGAUCAAUUGUCUCCCAAACCUCGCUGACUUUGAGUGCUAUCUUCAUCGUUAAGGCCCAGACAGUGUAGUUUGACGGAGUUAACAUCAGAAACUUAAUGGAGUUUGGCCCCGUUGCCUUGUGCAGCACGAUCUCAUCUUUGACGUCUCCCAUGGUUUAUAAGUCGAAGGUUUCAAAACUCUAUGAGGCUCUGAUACCAAAUAUAGAAACACAAACUCGAUAAUAAGAAGUCCUUCUCUUAUUAUUCAAUCACCAAUUCUCAAGAUCACAAUUCACCAAUAUCAAAACCACACAUUAUGCAUCCUACUAUGCAUUCAUAUAUAUAGGACUUAACAUAUUCCUAUUUCAACUAUCAUUAUCAUAUUUCCUAAUCCUUAAAGAUAAUCAUGACUUAAUAAAGAAAAGUAAACUUGAUAUUCAAGCUUAUCCAACAGUUAUUAUAAACUGGUUGGCGGUUGCUAAUUAUACGAAGCUUUCUCUGACUCUGGCAAAAAGUAAUAACUAUACGAUGGUUUAUUCUUGCAAGGUGAACGACACUAAGAAAAAGAACCGCGUAUUCUACUCAUGUAUGUAUAUCUAUUACGGGAUUCGGGCAAGAUACGAUGGUUUAAUCUUGCAUGGUGAACGACACUAAGAAAAAUAACUGUAUACUAAGUAAAGAUCUGCGCUUUGCGCAAGUCAAAAUUGUAUAUAAUAUUUUGUUAAAUAUCGUAAAAUCAAGCAGAGACUUUGUUGUUACAAUAUAAAACUGAAUAUCAAUUGCUCUAAAUAAUUAUUUGGACAAACUGAAAAGAUGCAUUGAGUUAAUGGACUAGUAAAAGAUUUAUAGUUAACGGAAAAAGUCUUGUACAAAAAUGAUGGGCUUAGACUUAAGUGUUUGUAACGAAAUAAUUUUAAGUUUGUCUAAUAUAGAAACUUUGAAAAUCUAUCCUAUACUAAAAGGAACAUAUAAAGCUCCCACAUUGCUCCUCAGAUUAAUUAUAAUCAACCAAUCAGAAUUCAUUAUUUUUGCCAUGUCACACUCUAAUUGGGCUGAUUUUGUUGCUGAUCCGUAAGCCCACAACAUUGUUAGGCUAUAUUAGUUAUUAAUGCACAUGUUUUGUUAUUAAUUAGUAUAUAUGAUAUUUUGGUCCAGUAGCCCAAUACACCAGAAUCCUUAAAACGCAGAUCUUGAUCAUUUCUUCGACAUCCUCUCUUCAUCGUUUCAUCUUUUUUUUUUUUUUGAAAGAUUCAUCGUUUCAUCUUCCUCAACGGUUCGUCGAUCAAUCAGCACACUACUCCAUAAUUGAUCAAUGAAUCCUCCAGAAAUCCCACUUAUGUCUUCCUUUCACCUUCCUUCCUCUCAAUUUCUAUAACAUUCCUCCCAAUGGAUGGUAAUCCACCAAAAAGUCUUCCGUAGCCAUUGGCAAUGCCGAAUUUCUAGAUCGAACGAACACACAUGCCUUUCAUAUGUUCAUGUCUGCCUUUCUUCAGGUUCCAACUCCCUUUUUCACAAUAUAUAAACAUAUCCUCUGAUUCUAUGCUCCACCAUCAUACACGACAAAUACAUCACGGCGAGAGAGGCAUGCUUACAGGUAUAGACCCGUAACUAUGAUGAGAUUAUUUGAUUCCCUCAGACUCUAUACGCUUACUAUUGGUUCAGCUAAUUCACCAUAGCCAUCACCCAAUUCUUCAGUGAUGUAUCUGCAGGCUUGGUAGAAGCGGAGCUGCGUUACCAGUGAAUCCAGUUCGGUCAAACAACAGUCUCUGAAGCAGGUCGAAUCAUGGUAUGUAUAUCCAUUCUGUUAUUCUCCUCUCCUCAUAGCUGAACCAUCUAUUUCUGCAAUGUUUGUUUCUUUCUUAUUUUCGCUUUGUGGGUUAUUCUUCCGAUGAUCUGGAAUCUGAAAAGUUUCAAGAUUUGCGAUGAAAUCUUCUCACUGACUUUAUAAGUUUAUUUGGUUGCAUUUCAGUUCACUUACACUCAAACCUGGUAAAAUAACUUCUUUCUCUUUAGUUGUAAUUGAUCAAAAUUGUUUAGUUACAAACAUCGGAUGCUCAACUUUGUGUUUGAAACUGUAACUUUUCUGAAAAUAUUGUUAUGUAAAAGUCAAAAGAUUGCAUUUUUAUGUUUCUUGAUAAGAAUAGAAGCCUUAAAAUGGCUAUUGAUCCCAUAAUGUUUAGUUAAGCUUUGUGACAGUGACUGUUAAAUCGCUAACUUUUGUCACCAUGUGUCUCUGUUGGUAACAUCUGAUAGAAAUCCUAGGAAGAUAGCUACAAGGUUACUUGAUCCUUUUCUUGCUCACUUGAAGACAACACAAGAUUAAGUUGCUAAAGGUGGCUACUCAAUUGUUCUCAAGCCUGAGGAUAGUGACGGUGCGACUUGGUUCACUAUUAGUAAGUAAACAUUUGUAAAACACCGUCACUAAUUUCUCACUUAAUCUUUGCUUGGCAGGUUUUGACAACGGUUACAUUCACUGAGAUCCUCCCGUCGACAAAAGCCAUCGUCUCUUUCAAAGUCCCUGACAACAGUUCUGGCAAGGUUUAAAAAAUAAUAGUAAUAACCCUUUUGUGUAUGCAUUUCAGUGGUUUUGAGAUUGAUACCAUCAACUUAUGAAAUCUGUUAACAACUUGAGGUCCAGUACUUCCAUGACCAUGCAGCAGUCUCCGUACCGCAGCUUUGAAGCAGAACCCAUUGAUCGAUGUAACAGCCACUCUAGAUACACCAGUCAUUUGGUGCUGACGCUGGAUAUGACACAUCCUCCAAAACUUUCACCAAGUACAAUGCUAGAAACGUUACAAAGUACACUGAAUCAUUAUUCUCCACUCCUCACGCAAUCCAUCAUUGAAUGCAUAUACCAUUACUUCAUUUCUCUGAAUCCUGGAGAUUACCUCAACUAUAAAAAGGUAUGUUAUAUCCAUCAAAUUCAUCGGUUCAAUCUUCUCAACUAUAAGGUCUUUCCUUUUUUUGUGUUAUUGUUCCUCACACAAAGAGAGAUCAUUUUUUUUUUGUUCUUUGUUUCUUUUUUAUCCGUUUCAGAGUUUGUAAUUCAAAAACAAAAUUAAUUUGAAGCCGGCUACACCGCAGAUUGAUCGUCUGAGUUUUGAUAUUUAUUCAAAGUCUCAGUUGUUUUUGAACUUUGUCAUUUUUUUAACCAGCACUUUGUCUUCUUCAUGUUUGUGUUUUAUUGGUUCUUCGCUGAUCUGUUUGCUUGGUUUGUUGUUCCUUUCAGUUUGUGAACUGUAUCUUUCUCUAUACCCUAAUAUUGAAUGUUUCUAUCUACAUCAGGAACCAAAACAGAAUAACCUUCGUCAAAAUACUUUGGCACUGUAUUGUCUACAUGAGAUAACAAUGGUGAGUUUCACAUUAGCUUUUACUUUUGGAAAUCUGUGAACCGUUUUGACAAGGUGAAGCAUAACGUUUUCACUUGAUAACCUCCUCGAAGACCAAAAAAGAGAUCAAGAACUGUUCAGAAACAAAUGAAUGUAAUGUUAUAGCACAAAUAAUGUUACAGCUUGCUUUGUUGCUUAACAUUUUCAUUCUUGGUUGCUGUCUCUUUUCCGGAUUUGGCUAGCAGAGCAAGUAACACAGGCUCUUAUGAAUCCCCUGAAGCUGCGGAAACAUGAUCAGAGGUGUGAUUCCUUGCUUUGUUUUUUUUUCUUCGGUUUCUUCAAUUUAGUGUCCACGCAACUCUUUGUUCUAUGGUUAAUUUCUAUACACAUUGCCACCAUUGAUUCCAGAUUAUAAUAAUUCAUUGUGUUUUGGAGUUCCUGCUGUAGAUAUAUGUCUAAGCCAUUCCUCAUGUUUUGAUGUUUGAUAUAUUGUUAUAACUGAAAGUCAACUGGUACAAAUAUUAUUCUUGGUAUUAUAUAUUGAUUCAAUAUUUUUGAUCCAGUCACUAGAAAGACAAAAGUGAAACUGUGAAGAAAGGUAAUAGUACUCUUUGAUCAAUAUAAGAAUUCCUUUCUUGGUUCGAUGAGUGUGCUAAUCUCACAUGGAUCCUCGACAAUCUUUUACCAAAAAUCCAAACUAAAAGUUGGUUGUUAUAAUACAAGUUUUGUUGUACUUAAGGGAAAUGUUAUGUUAACGAAAUAGAAAAAGAAACUACAAGUCUUACAAACUUAUUACUAACCAAGUAUUUUACUAUUAUAGUUUCAAAAAGAAAAGUAUUUUACUAUUUUCAAUCAAAUGACAUUUUCUAAAAAAUAUGAUAUUAUGAGUACUAAUCACUGAACAUUUAAACCUAUACCGUUUCUAAGUUAGUUAAAAUACAUUUGAUCCCCCUUCUAAAUCAACACAUAUAUUACUAAAAUAUUAAUUUCAUAUAUUUAGUUAUUUACAAUAUAUAAAGUAUCAAUAAUAUUUUGGAUGCAAAAAUUUGAUCAAAUAAAUAUAAGGGGACAUAUUUUCAACCCAUAUAUAAAAAAAGCUCAACACGUUAAAUAAUAAUAAUGUAAUCAGUGAAUAGUUAAUCAAAAAUUUAAGACGAAACAUUUAUAAUUUUCUUAUUUUAAGAGUGUGAACAAUGGUAAAGUAAAAAUAUUUCUAUGUAUGCUUGAGUAUAUGAUAUAUAUUAUAUUUGUUUAGUAAUUUUCACGACACUAUUAAAAAGAAUCCAUUUCAUCAGAAAUAAUAUAGAUUAUUCAAAAUUUCAAUCAAAAAUGAAAAAAAACUAAAAUUUGAUAUUAUAUCAUAUAUGAUAUCAAAAGAAGUAGCAAGAGAAAAAAAUAAAAAUAAAUCAACAACAAAGAAAUUAUUCUAUCAACAACAAAGAAAUUACUCCAUCUACAACUCAUGAGAUAAUAAUCAAAGAAAUACAACUAAUAACAACUUCUCAACAUCAUCCGGACUAUUUAUGUAUUCAUAACUUAGUUUUGGUAUUUUAGAAAACUAAAAAUAUAUAUAUUUUUGUUACAUAAAAAUGCAAGAAAAAAUUAUAUGUAACAUUCACCCAGUAAAAAGAGUAAUAUGUUCACAUGAAAGUUCUACAAUAUUCUUCAUAAAUUAAGGUUUAUAAAUAAUUAAUCCGGGCGUAGCCCGGGAAGGGACCUAGUAUUGCUAAAAGAGGAUUAGAUUUGUGCGGCAAAUCAAAGAAAAACAUUUCAGAUCACAAUUCCAUUUAGAACGCCACAUUUGGUAAAUUAAAACACCACAUUUGGUAUUUAUUUUAAAUUAUUUUGUAUUCUAGAAAGCAUAUAUACUGUAACCAAUAAUGAAUACUGCAAUAUCUAUACUAUACUAAAAGGAGAAUAAGUUCAAAGCUGAGGGCAUUCACAUAGGAUUAAUAAAAUCAUCCAAUCAUAAACAUUUAUUUGACCAUGUCAGCACUGCUCUGUCGACUUAGAACCGGACAUUCAAAUGGGCUUCUAUAUUCCGAAAUGACCCAGCCUUUUCCUUCCCAGCUUGAUUGUCCCAGACCUUUACACUUGGUCGUUUCAACUCUCUUUACACUUCGUCGUUGUCUUAAAGUCACUUCCCCUUCCUCUUAUUGUUCCUUCUUUCUUUUCACCUUCCUAUUUACUUAUAAUUGAUUUUUGUUUUGUUUACAGAUCAAAGAAGGAACCGGGAAGGAGAAGAAGUGGUGUUACAGAGCGGUGUCUCCGGCUUCGUCUCUCACUCACUCUCCGUGUUCUGAUUCCGGUUUUGUUUUUCUGUUCUUAGUAAAAAAGGCGGAGUAGGCUGAAGAAGCUUGAUGAUCAUGGUCUCGGCGUCAACAAUGGUGAUCUCGGCGUCAACAGUGGUGGUCUCGACUUCAUCAAUGGUAGCUUAGCGUGGUGGAUGAGGCUGAAUAAGCUUACCUAUGGUGUUCUUGGCUGCUGGUCUCGGCCUCAGAGAUGAAAAAACCGAAGGAGCUGAAGUUGACGGCGAAGAAGAUGAAGUUGACGGAAAAAAGUUUAGAUGUAGGGAUAAUUUUUUUUUUAAUUAGUUUACACUUUUUAGGGUUACAUUUCCAAACCGGGUUUUGUAAACCAGAAUUAAUUAUAUUUGGUAGUUUUAAUUUUUAAUUAAUUUCGAUUCCAACAUAUAAAAGCUAAUUAUAUAUUAUAAAGAAAUUUGUAUAAUUUAAUGUGUUCUAAAUUUUUAAAAACUAUAAAGAGUUUUGGAGAAUUUGGGGAGUACGAAUUUUUUUAAGAAAAAUUUAAUGUGUUCUAAA